GGAGAGGUGCCGGAGCGGUCGAUCGGGUCGGUCUCGAAAACCGAAGUACGGGCAACUGUACCGUGGGUUCGAAUCCCACCCUCUCCGCCA
This 90-nucleotide transfer RNA is filed under the name Siccirubricoccus sp. G192. RNAcentral's name for it is "tRNA-Ser". It matches the Rfam family "tRNA". From Rfam's summary of the family: Transfer RNA (tRNA) molecules are approximately 80 nucleotides in length. Their secondary structure includes four short double-helical elements and three loops (D, anti-codon, and T loops). RNAcentral also lists the same sequence under 2 other names. Lineage: Bacteria; Pseudomonadati; Pseudomonadota; Alphaproteobacteria; Acetobacterales; Roseomonadaceae. The record is from RNAcentral.